This is a non-coding RNA of Trichomonas vaginalis G3, 1944 nucleotides long. The record is from Rfam. Lineage: Eukaryota; Parabasalia; Trichomonadida; Trichomonadidae.
GCUGCGCGAUUCAGAGUAAAAGCCUCGUAUGACCAACCGCAAGCUUACGAUGGACCGGGGAGAGUCGGAUACUUUGAGAGUAGUGUCUUAAGGGGGUGGUAUGUCCCAUCCAAGGCUAAAUAACGUGAGGAGACCGAUAGAUUACAAGUAGUGUGAACGAAAGAUGAAAAGAACUCUAAAACAGAGGGUGAAAAGUUCCUGAACUUGCUUAGGGUUAAGGCUAUUUAUAGUACCCGUCUUGAAACACGGAUUAGGGAGUUUAUCUGUAGUGCGAGUCUUUGCACGUUAACUGUAAAGGCGUAGAGAAAGCAACUGGCGUUUGCAUGGCUACUGAGCAUUACUGAUAGGACCCGAAAGGUGGUGAACUUUGCCUGCACAGGUUGAAGUCAGGGGAAACUCUGAUGGAGGACCGUACGGGUUAUUGAUGUGCAAAUCAUUUUUCUGAUGUAGGUAAAGGUGCGAAAGACUCAUCGAACCACCUAAUAGCUGGUUUCCUCCGAAGUUUCCCUCAGGAUAGCUGUAAUGCAUUUAGUUAAGGGGAGUAGAGAUAUGGGUAGAGGUGCAGGGAGCCUUCGGGUUCUCAACUUAUUUCCAAACUUCGAACCUCCUUGUUAGGCAUUUACCUAACUGGAAAUGCUUAAAUGAAUUAGCGUUACAAGUGGGCUCUGACCGGUAAGCGGUCAUGGCGAAAUGGGAUGAACCAUACGUCUGAAUAAGGUGCCGAAAUGUACUAUCACUGAUACCAUAAAGGGAGUCCAUGUAUUUAGACAGCAGGUCGGUGCCCCUAAAAGCAGGUAUCCGCUAAAGAGUGUGUUAAAACUCACCUGCCGAAUACUAGGGCCCCGAAAAUGAAUGGCGCAUAUAGUACUACCGAUCUCAGACAUCAGUUCUAUUGAACUGAGAGUAGGGGGAUGUGGACAUUUUUGUGAAGUGCAAUGUGAGUUGGACUGGAAGAAUGUCUAUUACAGAUCCUAAUUGAAGUAGCGAUUAUCCAGGCUUGUAUCCUGGGGGCUGAUGAGGAGUAGGGUUUCUGGACAACUUAAACAGAUCCAGAGUUAGUCGAUCCUAAUCUCAAUAAUGGGAGAAAGGGAGUACAGUUGAUAUUCUGUAACUGACAACAGUUCGCGGCAACGCAUACUAUUUUUCUCCGCCAAUCUUAUACCGUUGGUAGGGAUCUCUUUCCUACAUGACAGUACUAAUACCCAGGGAAACUGGUCAUCAGGCGAACUGCGGCGUUCUGCUGGCAAAACAUAGCUUCGGUUAUGUCAAUGGCUAUUGGAUUGGUCCAUGAAGCGAAAAAUAGUUUACUGUGUCACUCGUACCGAUAACCGCAUCAGGUCUUCUAGGUAAGUAGCCUAUGGCCAUUGAGGCAUGAUAGUUCAGGGAAUUCGGCCAAUUAGAGCUGUAACUUCGGGAUAAAGCUUGGCUCUGAUGAAAAUCAGAACCGAUUGUUACGCGGAGAGCCCAACUGUUUAAUAAAAACGUAGUGUCGCGCUGUGGUAGUAUAGCCAGUGAACGCGACAUGAAUCCUGCUCAGUGCUGUGUCUGUUAAUAUGGUUCAAGCCAACGAAGCACCGGUAAAUAGCUGGGGUAACUAUGACUCUUAUCAAAGUAGCGAAAUACCUCGUCACUUAAUUAGUGACCUGCAUGAACGGAGCUAUGAGGUUCUCACUGUCCCAAACUGUCUCUCAGCGAACCAACUGUAGUGGGAACGGUCACUAGAUAUCCAGCGGGGAAAGAAGACCCUGUAGAGCUUCACUUUGGUCUAGUCUUGUAUAGUUCCUGCGGGGGUGUAGACUAGGUGGGAGAGCAAUCGAUUCUGAAAAACCACUACCCUGUUUGGAAUUAUGCUUACCUAUCACAAGGAAUAGGACUAGAUAGAAAGUUUGGCUGGGGCGGCACACCUUCGAAAGAGCAGCGAAGGUGUCCUAAGUUGAGCUCAGU